This 254-nucleotide ribosomal RNA is filed under the name uncultured bacterium. Its description in RNAcentral is "partial 16S ribosomal RNA". It matches the Rfam family "Bacterial small subunit ribosomal RNA", at positions 524 to 776 of the family's 1533-position model. The record is from RNAcentral.
UACGUAGGGGGCAAGCGUUGUCCGGAUUUAUUGAGCGUAAAGAGCUCGUAGGUGGUUCGGUAAGUCGGAUGUGAAAUCUCCAGGCUCAACCUGGAGGGGUCAUUCGAUACUGCCGUGACUAGAGGUCGGUAGGGGAGUGUGGAAUUCCUGGUGGAGCGGUGAAAUGCGCAGAUAUCAGGAGGAACACCCGUAGCGAAGGCGGCACUCUGGGCCGAUACUGACACUGAGGAGCGAAAGCGUGGGGAGCGAACAGG